Molecule: RNA transcript, 1402 nt
Organism: Fragaria vesca subsp. vesca
Lineage: Eukaryota; Viridiplantae; Streptophyta; Magnoliopsida; Rosales; Rosaceae
Exons: 3
Source: RefSeq, a predicted model, not a curated record
AUCCUUCACUGUGGCUUUUCCAAAUCCCUCGAUGUCUCCUUGCCAAGUCAAACCAGAGAUGGAUUUCGAACCAAAAGCAAACUCGGUGAUGGGAUUGCAAUUGGGUGAUGGCUGGGUCAGCAUUCCAGAAGGAUUUGAGCUUGCAAUGGGGCUUAUACCCACAGAACAAGUGAGGAUUUGAUUUUCUUUUUUCAUACUUCUUUGAUUUGUACGAAUAAGAAGCUGAGAUUUCGUGUUUGCUUCCUCAUUGGUGGCACUGGGCAAGCGAAAUCGCUCCUAGAAGGCUCUCGUUCAAACUGUUCAAGGAAACACCAGUGUUGCAGUCUCACAAAACAAAGGGCUCAUAGCUUUUAUUUGAGGGAUCAAAGGGCAGAAACAAGAGUAACCGCUUUGUCAUAGUAACCAGUGUCAAAGUAUCCAGAGAACCAGAACCAUAUGGUAACCAUAGUGCCCGAGAGUAACCAUAGUAUCCGAGAGUAACAAAAGUAUUCGAAAGUAACCAUAGUACCCAGAUCAUAGUAGCCAAGAACCAUAGUAACAAGUAGCCAAAGUAACCAGUAUCCAUGAGGGAUUUCAAAGUCUCCAUAGUAUCCAGAGUAACCAGUGAUUUGAGUAACAAGUAACCAGGAACGAUCCACAAAGGAUUUGAGUAACCAGAGUAACAAGUAACCAUAGGAACCAUAGUAACCGGAUCAAUCCAGAAGGGAUUUGAGUGACCAAGUAACAAGUAACCAAGAGAACACCGGGAGGCCAUCCACAGGAGAUGAUAAAGGCAACAAGGCCUCAAGUAACCAGGUAACCAGAGAAUAACAGAACAAACCAAGAAAGGAGGACAUCGUUCGAACCUUGUGAAAGUUUGAAUUCUCUUCUUCUGUUGUCGCAGGGCCCUCUAGUCGGAUCGGGAUCCUCUCCUCGUAAUUCUCUGCUCAUACUUCCUCAUAAAUAAAUCUGAACCAUCCAAUCUUAAUAGAUGGUCAGGAUUUAUCUUACAUUCUUUAAGGUGAUUAGUCUAUCUUCUUCCCAAAUUCUCGUAUAGAUUUCUGAUCGCCGAUCUCCUCUCAUCUCUCUCUUCCCUCUCUCACCCCAACCCCAAAGCUGAUAUCUUUCGCUCCAUAAUUCCUAUUGCAUAUAGUUUUACACUUUUACUACCUCUCUGUUGUUCGAAUCGAAUCAGCAGCCGAAAGAGAAAGAAGGAUGCGUUGACGGGUCUCAAGGAUCGUCUGUUGUCGCAGCCGUCACGACAACCAGAACCGGUUAAUCAUGAGAAACCUCAAGGAACCGGUCAGGUAGAGCGACAUCCUCAUCCUGCUCGAGUAUGAGAGAGAAGCAAGAAGGUCUCGUUGAUGGGUCUUCGCUUUUGUCUCCAACGAUGGAAAAAGCAAUGUUCUUUGCAUGUUACUGG